GUUUAUUUCUGACAAGAUCAAGGAUAUGCAAUCAAACCAUUUUAUUUCCUUCUUUUAAAGUGAGAUGAAGUUUCAGUUCCUCAACAAGAUUCAUGAAAUAAUUUGUCCCACUGGAGAGAAUUUGUUGAGGACUCACUUUUUCCCCACAGAGGAAAGAAAGGAUUGGAUGACUGAGGGGAGGAAAAGGUAGAAGACAGUGUUCCAGCCCUACAGGAUUUGUGGUAUGAAAUAGAUGUCAGUGGAGCAGAAGACUGGCUUUGGCCCAGAGUUCCCAAGAGGCAGAGCAGGGAGUUUGAUAAGCAAGAGCAUCAUUUUACAAUGUAAUAUUUUAAGAUACCAGGGAUGUGUGCUCACGGAGAAAAUGCCACACGAGAAGACAGUGAGAAGAUGGUCAUCUGUGAGCCAAGGAGAAGGGCUGCAGGAGAAACCAAAUCUUUAGUACCUGACUCUUGGACUUCUAGUCUCUGGCAGAGGGGAAAAUAAAAUUCAGUUGCUUGAGCCAGAAAAGGAAGUUUUUUCUUUGACAUACAUCAGGAUGGGGGCCUGUUAGGCAUCUCUGGCCUGGUGAUAUUUCCUUGUUUCUUCCUAACUUUUCAGCUCUGCUGGUAGAGGUGGAGACCAGGCCCCACCCCUGCAGUCUCUUCCUUUAUCUUGGAAGGUGUCUUUCUAUAUUCUCC
Molecule: long non-coding RNA, 677 nt
Filed under: Fukomys damarensis (Damara mole-rat)
Lineage: Eukaryota; Metazoa; Chordata; Mammalia; Rodentia; Bathyergidae
Description: lncRNA (ENSFDAG00000029223.1)
Source: RNAcentral